ACACAAGCGAAAGCAAGUGUUUGAAGUGGGUGACAAGGUGACGGUGUUCCUAGAGGUGACGGUGUUCCUAGGCGUGAAAGGUUUCCCAUGGGUUCUUAUAGCAAGUUCCAACCAAAGAAAUAUGGACCUUAUAAAAUUGUCAAACGAAUCAAUGAUAAUGCAUAUGUUAUUGAUUUGCCAGAUAGCAUGGGAAUUUCGUGAACUUUCAAUACAGCUGAUUUGUAUCCAUACCGCUCAAUGGAUUAGCCUUUGUAUCCUCUUAAUGACUCAAACUCGAGGUCAAGUUUUUCCCGAGUGGAGGAGACUGAUAUGGAAUGUAUUAGUGAUAAUUUUA
This 334-nucleotide unclassified non-coding RNA is filed under the name Hevea brasiliensis (rubber tree). Lineage: Eukaryota; Viridiplantae; Streptophyta; Magnoliopsida; Malpighiales; Euphorbiaceae. The record is from RNAcentral.